Long non-coding RNA from Cuculus canorus (common cuckoo), 718 nucleotides. RefSeq lists it as uncharacterized. Lineage: Eukaryota; Metazoa; Chordata; Aves; Cuculiformes; Cuculidae. The transcript is spliced from 3 exons. The record is from RefSeq and is a predicted model, not a curated record.
CAGUGUGAAGAUCUGAGACCCAGCAGAGCAACAGGUAAUUACUAUUUUCAAAGCACCUGGAAACUUUAAGUAGGAUAUAGACCCAUUGCGCCAGGAGCUGAACAUGUAUUUGCUGCUAGUGAAAGCAUGUUCAGUGGGAUGAUCUGUGGAAAGGAUGCUGAGUAAGACCUGCAUUCUAAAAGAAUAUUUUAAUGGAACAGAUUAACACUUCUUUGAUACACACUAUCACAAAGGAUUUGCACGUCUUUAAGGUUACAUGCAUAUUCAAGUUUGAAAAUUUUCCUUUACAGUGUCUCUGGGGUAUGCUUUGUUUUGCAAUUCACGACUCUGUUUGUGAAGUAAAUACCAAUAAGUCUCACUCUUAGCAUAUCAAACCUUUGCCUGGCAGCACAUACAACAGCUUUGUUGCUCUCCAGCACUGCUCUGUCUACAUUUUCUAACCUUCACCCACCACUUCUGGAGAUGUGAAACUGGUUUGAUCUUCAUCUGCAUUCCAUCUGUUCUCACUCUCAACAGAGCAGGAAUCACCAAGGGAUGCCAACUACUGUCUGCCUUUUGUGAAAGGGACACAUGCCUACUGUGGAUUAAAUCAAAAUUCUUUAAAAUGAUUAAACAUUUUUUCAUGUGUUUCUGUGACAAAGUCUGAGCAUGGGACUAUGCAUGUAUGCCUCAAAGAGUUGGAACUUUAUUUUUUAUCUUCUUUUACUAAGGAAAAGAG